This 164-nucleotide ribosomal RNA is filed under the name Nautilus pompilius. Its description in RNAcentral is "partial 28S ribosomal RNA". Lineage: Eukaryota; Metazoa; Mollusca; Cephalopoda; Nautilida; Nautilidae. The record is from RNAcentral.
CCUGAAAAUGGAUGGCGCUAAAGCGUCGGCCGAUGCCNNNCCGUCGUGGCAAACGAAUCGCAAGAAAAAGAUGAUUUGANNNAAAAACGAAGUUCCUAAAACCGAGGAACCAGGCGUCGACGAGUAGGAGGGCGCCGCGGUGCGCUUAGAAACCAUUCGGGCGC